Molecule: long non-coding RNA, 1228 nt
Filed under: Bemisia tabaci
Lineage: Eukaryota; Metazoa; Arthropoda; Insecta; Hemiptera; Aleyrodidae
Description: lncRNA ENSSSA1UGG002002
Source: RNAcentral
CCUUUUCCUCUUUAAAAUGUUGCUGAAAUAUCGGAUUCCCCUCGGUGUACAUGAGGGAUUAAGAGCUUUUUCCUGUGCUCUUGUCACAGCUAAACCCAUGUUUCGUCAUCAUUGAAACAUGAUAUGAUUUAACAACCCUAAUUUAAUCUCUCUUAAAGGGAUCCGGGCAGUCUCCGAGAAGAAAAUAUAUCUUUCUUUAAUUUCCGCGUUUUCAUAGAGAACUAUCUUAUUCAAACUAAUCGUAAGUGCAAGUAUUAUUUUUACUGUUAAACCCAAAUCCUAGAGUUGAAAAUUAAUUGUCCUGGUUUUUAUUUGUUGCAGGAAUCCGUUUAGCUGCGAAUAGACGUGCAUAUCACGUAGCCAAGACCCAACCAUUUGAUUCUUACGAAGGCUGCAAAUUCCAGACAUGGUCGUCCCUCGCUGCCUUUGAUAAGAUUCGCGCUCUACCCUCUGCAGAGUUGCAUCCUCUUCGAGAACUCUGCUUCUCUGAGCCUUCCAUCUCUCGCCAUCGAGCCAAUAAGCUUUUUAAAAUGCUCUCCAGAGUCAAGUUGAAAUCCAGCUCUGCCUGCUUCAUUUUGCGUCCUCUUCAAAAAUGGCUGUGAUAUCUAAUACACGAUACUGGUGAAUCAGCAUUUAUUGUUUGCACUCGAGACGUGAACUUGAGUCAAAUUGUCGGAAAGUUUUUGCGAGUAUGCUGAAAGAUUGUCCUGCUUGAAGGAUACAAAUAUUGUAACGUAGAUUGUUGUUAACGGGUAAUCGUGUCAAAAUUUUACGCUCAAUUCACACUGUUCAAUCCACCCCGGUGUAACUCAACUGCAAUCAAAUUGUCCAACAGCAACUUUUUGGAAUUCUUCCGUCCCAACUGACGCCCGGUGACGUGAUUAAAUGUCAGCGCAAUUUUAGCCCUUUGGUUAACGCAAUCGUCCAACGAAAAUCCUUGCUCAAAUCAACUGUUCAUACUGCUGCUAUUCGGUCAAAUUCUCUCCUGGAAUCGCAUUUUGAUCAACCGUACCAUUUUAAGUUUUGUUAGAAGUUCACGUUAUACUCAACUUUCUUAACUUACGUACCUCUUAAUUACCAAGUUCCUUUACGUUAGCGAUAAUUUCCGCGCGUUUGUGUAUCCCUCCGUAACUUGUGUUCCUUCCGGCACCCUGUGUAAAUUUAGUGCACCGCGUGAAUUUCGCGUGUAAUCCUAGUGUAAGUUUAGUUUUUACUCCGAUUCUAGUCU